RNAcentral lists this transfer RNA (62 nucleotides) under Lamprolepis smaragdina. Its description in RNAcentral is "tRNA-Cys". Lineage: Eukaryota; Metazoa; Chordata; Lepidosauria; Squamata; Scincidae. The record is from RNAcentral.
AGCCUUGGCACACCUUCGUGUGCUUCUCUAGAUUUGCAUUCUAGCGUGAAUCACUACAAGAC